This is a non-coding RNA of Gossypium arboreum, 143 nucleotides long. NCBI's taxonomy places the organism in Eukaryota, Viridiplantae, Streptophyta, Magnoliopsida, Malvales, Malvaceae. The record is from Rfam.
UGUUAAAAAUUUCAUCCAAUUAUACUGUUAAAAAUUAGGAUGGCGAAGGGAAUAACCAUAUAGUGAAACAUUGUGUCACAUGUAACUUAUGCAAACAUAUAGGGACUGAUUUUUAAUAAUAGAAAUUGAUGAUUUUUUUAAUA